CAGUCGCCGCGGGAAUGCGAAGGGGGCUAGCGUUGCUCGGAAUCACUGGGCGUAAAGGGUGCGUAGGCGGGUCUUUAAGUCAGGGGUGAAAUCCUGGAGCUCAACUCCAGAACUGCCUUUGAUACUGAAGAUCUUGAGUUCGGGAGAGGUGAGUGGAACUGCGAGUGUAGAGGUGAAAUUCGUAGAUAUUCGCAAGAACACCAGUGGCGAAGGCGGCUCACUGGCCCGAUACUGACGCUGAGGCACGAAAGCGUGGGGAGCAAACAGGAUUAGAUACCCCCGUAGUCCCUGUCUCUUAUAC
RNAcentral lists this ribosomal RNA (301 nucleotides) under uncultured bacterium. RNAcentral describes it as "partial 16S ribosomal RNA". It matches the Rfam family "Bacterial small subunit ribosomal RNA", at positions 509 to 807 of the family's 1533-position model. The record is from RNAcentral.